UGCAGUCGAGCGAAUGGAUUGAGAGCUUGCUCUUAUGAAGUUAGCGGCGGACGGGUGAGUAACACGUGGGUAACCUGCCCAUAAGACUGGGAUAACUCCGGGAAACCGGGGCUAAUACCGGAUAAUAUUUUGAACUGCAUGGUUCGAAAUUGAAAGGCGGCUUCGGCUGUCACUUAUGGAUGGACCCGCGUCGCAUUAGCUAGUUGGUGAGGUAACGGCUCACCAAGGCAACGAUGCGUAGCCGACCUGAGAGGGUGAUCGGCCACACUGGGACUGAGACAGGGCCCAGACUCAUACGGGAGGCAGCAGUAGGGAAUCUUCCGCAAUGGACGAAAGUCUGACGGAGCAACGCCGCGUGAGUGAUGAAGGCUUUCGGGUCGUAAAACUCUGUUGUUAGGGAAGAACAAGUGCUAGUUGAAUAAGCUGGCACCUUGACGGUACCUAACCAGAAAGCCACGGCUAACUACGUGCCAGCAGCCGCGGUAAUACGUAGGUGGCAAGCGUUAUCCGGAAUUAUUGGGCGUAAAGCGCGCGCAGGUGGUUUCUUAAGUCUGAUGUGAAAGCCCACGGCUCAACCGUGGAGGGUCAUUGGAAACUGGGAGACUUGAGUGCAGAAGAGGAAAGUGGAAUUCCAUGUGUAGCGGUGAAAU
This 650-nucleotide ribosomal RNA is filed under the name uncultured bacterium. RNAcentral's name for it is "bacterial SSU rRNA". It matches the Rfam family "Bacterial small subunit ribosomal RNA", at positions 56 to 687 of the family's 1533-position model. The record is from RNAcentral.